RNAcentral lists this ribosomal RNA (490 nucleotides) under uncultured bacterium. RNAcentral describes it as "partial 16S ribosomal RNA". It matches the Rfam family "Bacterial small subunit ribosomal RNA", at positions 28 to 507 of the family's 1533-position model. The record is from RNAcentral.
GAUGAACGCUAGCGGCAGGCUUAAGACAUGCAAGUCGAGGGGCAGCACGUUUGUCAGCAAUGCGGGAUGGUGGCGACCGGCAAACGGGUGAGGAUCGCGUACACAAUCUUCCCAGAGCAUGGGGAUAACCCGGUUAAACGCUGACGAAUACCCCGUAGUUUACGUUGAAGGCAGAUUUAAGGUAAUAAAACUCCGGUGGCUUUGGAAGAGUGUGCGCCCCAUUAGGUAGGUGGCAGGGUAACGGCCUACCAAGCCUUCGAUGGGUAACUCGUGUGAGCGCACGCCGAGUCACACGGGCACUGGGACACGGGCCCGACUGCGACGGGAGGGAGCAGUAAGCCCUAUUGAUCACUGGACGAGAGUCUGAACCAGCCCUGCCGGGUGAAGGAUCAAGGUCCUCUGGAUUGUAAACUUCUUUUACAGGGGGCGCAAACAGGGUUUUUUACCUCACUUGACGGUACCUUAUGAAUAAGCACCGGCUAACUCCGUG